Equus caballus (horse) is the source of this 704-nucleotide long non-coding RNA. RefSeq lists it as uncharacterized. The record is from RefSeq and is a predicted model, not a curated record. NCBI's taxonomy places the organism in Eukaryota, Metazoa, Chordata, Mammalia, Perissodactyla, Equidae.
GGGAGGGGGGGGUGGUGGGGUGCGGAUUAGCCCCGAGGGAUUCUCUGGCCAUUGAGCUGCCGCUGAUUUGCGCAGCUAGUUGCCUGGGGGUGAUAAACCGGCUCCAGCUCGCUCCUGGAGCGCUUACACUACCAAGCCCUUCCGAGCAAGAUCGAGAAAGGAUGCGCUUUCGUGAGAACUUGGCUCAGCCUUUCCGUGGACCCAGAGAAGGGCUUUAGGAUAAAUCGGAUUGUGUAGCCGGCUAAAGGGGACAAAGCAGAACCAUGACUUAAGGAGGAGACAGCCUCGUUUUUAUCCAGUGUUGAAAUAAGGUCCUGGUUCAUCCCCCCUCCAAUCCUAUUUCCAAAGCACUACACCAGCAAAGGCUUAGUUGUAAAAAAAAAAAAAAAAAAAAGGCAAUUCAUGGUGAAAGGAAAAACGCACUGGAAGACAAGAGGAUGCCAAUGAAGCAGACGGUGGUGGAGACUUUUUCCUAAGCUUAUUAAUUUCCCACUGGGAGCUCUGUGGAAGGGGCUGUGAGGGUUGGGGGAGGUAGAGAAUGGAACUUCAUUCUCUGGGGUAUUGCACUGCCUAGCCUCACCGUGGAGAAUAAGGAACUUUCUAAGGGAUAACUUAGAGGCAAGAAGAGGCCGAUUUGCUGAGCUGGAUGAAGGUUUACAGGGAUGGGGGGAGCUUUGCUUCUUAUAAAUAUACACGGCAAUUUC